This 429-nucleotide ribosomal RNA is filed under the name Chloroflexota bacterium. Its description in RNAcentral is "Chloroflexi bacterium partial 16S ribosomal RNA". It matches the Rfam family "Bacterial small subunit ribosomal RNA", at positions 355 to 776 of the family's 1533-position model. Lineage: Bacteria; Bacillati; Chloroflexota. The record is from RNAcentral.
UAGGGAAUCUUCGGCAAUGGACGAAAGUCUGACCGAGCAACGCCGCGUGAGCGAAGAAGGUUUUCGGAUCGUAAAACUCUGUUGUUAGAGAAGAACAAGGACGUUAGUAACUGAACGUCCCCUGACGGUAUCUAACCAGAAAGCCACGGCUAACUACGUGCCAGCAGCCGCGGUAAUACGUAGGUGGCAAGCGUUGUCCGGAUUUAUUGGGCGUAAAGCGAGCGCAGGCGGUUUCUUAAGUCUGAUGUGAAAGCCCCCGGCUCAACCGGGGAGGGUCAUUGGAAACUGGGAGACUUGAGUGCAGAAGAGGAGAGUGGAAUUCCAUGUGUAGCGGUGAAAUGCGUUGAUAUAUGGAGGUACACCAGUGGCGAAGGCGGCUCUCUGGUCUGUAACUGACGCUGAGGCUCGAAAGCGUGGGGAGCAAACAGG